Molecule: ribosomal RNA, 482 nt
Filed under: uncultured bacterium
Lineage: Bacteria
Description: partial 16S ribosomal RNA
Rfam family: Bacterial small subunit ribosomal RNA
Source: RNAcentral
AUUGAACGCUGGCGGCAUGCCUUACACAUGCAAAUCGAACGGUAACGGGCCUUCGGGUGCCGACGAGUGGCGAACGGGUGAGUAAUACAUCGGAACGUGCCCGAUCGUGGGGGAUAACGAGGCGAAAGCUUUGCUAAUACCGCAUACGAUCUACGGAUGAAAGCAGGGGACCGCAAGGCCUUGCGCGGACGGAGCGGCCGAUGGCAGAUUAGGUAGUUGGUGGGAUAAAAGCUUACCAAGCCGACGAUCUGUAGCUGGUCUGAGAGGAUGAUCAGCCACACUGGGACUGAGACACGGCCCAGACUCCUACGGGAGGCAGCAGUGGGGAAUUUUGGACAAUGGGCGCAAGCCUGAUCCAGCCAUGCCGCGUGCAGGAUGAAGGCCUUCGGGUUGUAAACUGAUUUUGUACGGAACGAAAAGCCUUCUUCUAAUACAGGAGGGUCAUGACGGUACCGUAAGAAUAAGCACCGGCUAACUACGUG